Long non-coding RNA from Rhinolophus ferrumequinum (greater horseshoe bat), 597 nucleotides. RefSeq lists it as uncharacterized. Lineage: Eukaryota; Metazoa; Chordata; Mammalia; Chiroptera; Rhinolophidae. The transcript has 3 exons. The record is from RefSeq and is a predicted model, not a curated record.
AGGCCUCCUUGCUGUAUUUAUAUACACUAAAGCCUCUGCCCGAAUAAAACAUCCAUGUAAAAUCCAAUUUCCUCAGAAUCUCUUUUGGAGCCUGGGCCUGAGAUGGAGUAGGUAACCCCGGCGGUAACUGCCUGAACCACUCCUGCUGGCUGCAAAGGGCUGCGGGAAGCUGGACCUGAAAGUGCUUCUCUGUACCUGCCUCCUGCCUUCCAGCAGAGCCUAGCACUUCACCGGGGAUGGAGGAGUGAGUAUGCAUUACUUGGCUAAGCAGAGAAAAAUUAAAUAAAAGAAAGAAGAAAAAAGAAACCAAUGAUAGAAACAUGUUUGAAGGGACAACGAGAGAAAUGGACACUCUUAUUCAGAAACAUUUCUCCAGCCCCAGGUGGGGAGAAGGGGCUGCCCCAAGAGGCCUGGCUCAGUUCUGAGGCUGGGUACUGAGUGGGGCUGGAUUUGAACCUUAAAGAGAUGUAGAUUGAUUAGCACAUAGAUGAUGCAGCUCUAUGGACAAAUGCAACAUCUUUAAUAAAAAGCCAUCAUUCUAAAGAUGUGGUACAUGUAUACAAUGGAAUACUACUCAGCCAUAAGAAAAGAUGAAAU